AGCAGCCGCGGUAAUUCCAGCUCCAAUAGCGUAUAUUAAAGUUGUUGCAGUUAAAAAGCUCGUAGUUGAAUUUCGGGGUUAGUAGGUCGGUCAUGCCACUGGUAUGUACUGGUCUCACUGAUUCCUCCUUCCUGAUGAACCGUAAUGCCAUUAAUUUGGUGUUGCGGGGAGACUGGACUGUUACUUUGAAAAAAUUAGAGUGUUUAAAGCAGGCUAACGCUUGAAUACAUUAGCAUGGAAUAAUGAAAUAGGACGUUCGAUCCUAUUUUGUUGGUUUCUAGGAUUGACGUAAUGAUUAAUAGGGAUAGUUGGGGGCAUUAGUAUUCAAUUGUCAGAGGUGAAAUUCUUGGAUUUAUUGAAGACUAACUACUGCGAAAGCAUUUGCCAAGGAUGUUUUCAUUAAUCAAGAACGAAAGUUAGGGGAUCGAAGACGAUCAGAUACCGUCGUAGUCUUAACCAUAAACUAUGCCGACUAGGGAUCGGAUGAUGUUAAUUUUUUAAUGACUCAUUCGGCGCCUUA
This 520-nucleotide ribosomal RNA is filed under the name uncultured Glomus. RNAcentral describes it as "SSU rRNA". It matches the Rfam family "Eukaryotic small subunit ribosomal RNA", at positions 569 to 1090 of the family's 1831-position model. Lineage: Eukaryota; Fungi; Glomeromycota; Glomeromycetes; Glomerales; Glomeraceae. The record is from RNAcentral.